RNAcentral lists this ribosomal RNA (429 nucleotides) under Enterobacter sp. Its description in RNAcentral is "bacterial SSU rRNA". It matches the Rfam family "Bacterial small subunit ribosomal RNA", at positions 355 to 776 of the family's 1533-position model. Lineage: Bacteria; Pseudomonadati; Pseudomonadota; Gammaproteobacteria; Enterobacterales; Enterobacteriaceae. The record is from RNAcentral.
UGGGGAAUAUUGCACAAUGGGCGCAAGCCUGAUGCAGCCAUGCCGCGUGUAUGAAGAAGGCCUUCGGGUUGUAAAGUACUUUCAGCGGGGAGGAAGGCGACAGGGUUAAUAACCCUGUCGAUUGACGUUACCCGCAGAAGAAGCACCGGCUAACUCCGUGCCAGCAGCCGCGGUAAUACGGAGGGCGCAAGCGUUAAUCGGAAUUACUGGGCGUAAAGCGCACGCAGGCGGUCUGUCAAGUCGGAUGUGAAAUCCCCGGGCUCAACCUGGGAACUGCAUUCGAAACUGGCAGGCUAGAGUCUUGUAGAGGGGGGUAGAAUUCCAGGUGUAGCGGUGAAAUGCGUAGAGAUCUGGAGGAAUACCGGUGGCGAAGGCGGCCCCCUGGACAAAGACUGACGCUCAGGUGCGAAAGCGUGGGGAGCAAACAGG